UGCUUUGACAGAUGAAACACAGAUUUGUCAGAAAAUGCUCCUGGGCUUGAUUUGCAUAUAGGAAACCGUUUUCUCCGCCCAUGAUGAAAGCAAGAAAAUCGCGUACAUUGAUCUAGCAAUGGCCUUUGACCCGACGAUUUAUCCAAAGGAAAAACACAUCUAUCCCCAGCAAUCUUGGUGAAGUAACUGGGCGGAGCAACGGCGGUCCGGCGGGUGUGUGGAUGAAAACGGCGCAAAGUAACAGUCUUGUUGACACCCGGUAAGAAUCGAAGAGAUGUGGGUUUGUUAAAGGAAGAUGAGGGCUUGUGGUUGAGGUUUAAUGGGUGUGUGGUGAUUGAUGAAGAAGCUUCCAUUGAUUUGUAGAAUGAAGGGGAAAUCUAGAGGGAGUCUGUGAAUAUCUUCACCGCCACCAA
RNAcentral lists this long non-coding RNA (413 nucleotides) under Helianthus annuus (common sunflower). RNAcentral's name for it is "hypothetical non coding rna". Lineage: Eukaryota; Viridiplantae; Streptophyta; Magnoliopsida; Asterales; Asteraceae. The record is from RNAcentral.